This is a long non-coding RNA of Manis pentadactyla (Chinese pangolin), 1446 nucleotides long. RefSeq lists it as uncharacterized. The transcript is spliced from 3 exons. Lineage: Eukaryota; Metazoa; Chordata; Mammalia; Pholidota; Manidae. The record is from RefSeq and is a predicted model, not a curated record.
GGAUGCUAGGUCUUCAGACCCUGCGCGUGCCCUGUAGUCACGGGAGCCCCCGAGCCAGGUCAGGUGUCCUUGACCUGGAACUGGGACCUACGGAGGGCUUAGCGGCUGGCCAGGGGGUCGUCUUCCUCGGUGACGGCCUGGCCCCCUUCUGCCUCUGUCUGCCUAGCCGCCUCCUAACACGGCCACUCGAAUUCAAGAUCAUCUUUGAUAAGGUUAACCUGCUACUGCCGCCUUGCAACAGAAUUUUAACCACCUGAGGCCUCUCACUGCACCCAGUUCAGCUUAAGUCGGACCCAGAAUGAGCCCAGACGAGAAGCUGCGGAGGAUCCCGGAGGGCCCUGGGCUCGCCUGCCGGCGGCGAGGGAGGAAGCCGUCCGCGAGCGCGGGAAACCGCGAGUCCCGCGCCCACCAGGGCCUCAAUUGCUUAGUCUGAGUUGGGUGGAAACCCAUUGUCUCCACACACCAGUACCUACUGGGAAACUCCUCAGGCUUCCUCAUUCGCCCCCCAGGAUGUUUAACGACACCACGUGCUUCAAUGCAAACAUACAGUCAGAGCAAGUAAACAUGCUUCUGCCCUUUUCUGAAUAAGUAUUUGUCAGGUUUUACAUGUCUUUUAAUGUCAGAAGUGCCAGGUAGGAUUGUGCCUCUAAUGUCUUCAUCUUUAAUUUGCUUGUUUUCUAUAACUCCUAUCUGUCUUACUAUUAGCCUAAAGACCAAUGUGUAGCAAAUUAGUCUGCUGUUAAGAUUCAUCCCAGAUCCUCCAGAGCUGAACCUGUAUUUUCCUUUCUUACUCUUGAACACAUUCACAGCACAUAGGGGGAACUAAAGAAUAGAAACUUAUUGGUCUAGGAGCUUUUUAUUAACCCUUAUUUUCUCACUUUCUUUUUUCUUUCUACUACUUUUAUUUUAAAAAUGUGCAUUGGAAUACUGAAGGCUUGGAAAAAUCGUGAGAUUAACAAGGGGACAAUAUGGGUGUGGAAGGCAUGUAUGAACACAAAAGACAAGGAUUAGUAAGAAAUUUCCUCAGUUAUAAAUAUGCUUCCAGGAGUUUUUCCAGGAAAUGAAAAAGAUCUGAUUGAACCUGGAAGUUAAAAAAAAAAAAAGCAGUGAGUUAGGAAAAACAGAAGAAAAUCCUUGUCUGAAAAUUGUGGGGAAAAAUAUCCAGAUAUUAAAAUAGACAUAAAUGGAUGCAAGAAUGAAGUGAAUCCAAAGAGUAUAGAAUGGAUGGAGUGAUGAUGAAUACUGAUGGGGAAGGUUGAAAUAUACUCAGAUUUUUUAGACAUAAAAAUCCAGACAAGGUAUUUGCAAGUUGGUUGUCUUAGAGUUUGAGGAAUGCAAAUAGCUAAAAUACAAACAGCUGAAGUUUAAGAUACUUGAGAUGAAGAUGUCCACAUGUAAGAUACAAUGAAAAUAAUAGUAACCAAGGACUAGAAAUUCAUAUAAACA